This 394-nucleotide ribosomal RNA is filed under the name uncultured bacterium. RNAcentral describes it as "bacterial SSU rRNA". It matches the Rfam family "Bacterial small subunit ribosomal RNA", at positions 524 to 916 of the family's 1533-position model. The record is from RNAcentral.
UACGGAGGGGGCUAGCGUUGUUCGGAAUUACUGGGCGUAAAGCGCACGCAGGCGGUUUGGUAAGUCAGGGGUGAAAGCCCACAGCUUAACUGUGGAACUGCCUUUGAUACUGCCUUUCUAGAGUGCAUGAGGGGGAAGCGGAAUUCCGAGUGUAGAGGUGAAAUUCGUAGAUAUUCGGAGGAACACCGGUGGCGAAGGCGGCUUCCUGGCAUGUAACUGACGCUCAGGUGCGAAAGCGUGGGUAGCAAACAGGAUUAGAUACCCUGGUAGUCCACGCCCUAAACGAUGGUCACUAGGUGUGGGAGGUAUCGACCCCUUCCGUGCCGCAGCUAACGCAUUAAGUGCCCCGCCUGGGGAGUACGGCCGCAAGGUUGAAACUUAAAGGAAUUGACGG